Molecule: long non-coding RNA, 857 nt
Filed under: Heterocephalus glaber (naked mole-rat)
Lineage: Eukaryota; Metazoa; Chordata; Mammalia; Rodentia; Bathyergidae
Description: lncRNA (ENSHGLG00000041779.1)
Source: RNAcentral
AAUUCCUCACGAGCCCCUCCUUGGGGUCAGCUCCUCCUAGACCAGGCCCAGCAGGCAGGGCUGCAGGAGGGGCUCACACUCCCAAGAGGCUCCGGGUCGUGUAGGGACAUCUUCCAACACAUAACCCAAACGCCGACGCCGACACCGAGGGCAGUUUCAGGGAGCAGAGGCGCUCACCACAGGACAACAGUCAAGAGGCAAGAGGCGGCAGCAAGGGGUACAGCCGGGGACCUGGGUGGCCGUUUGAAGGGGUCUUCCCCCUCCUCAGACCCACUGCCCGCUCCCGGCCCUCCUUUCCCGCGCAUACAUCUCCCAAACAUGGGCCCCUCCAGCCCCGACUUCUGGGUGAACCCCAGAUUCGGAGAGCACUAGGGCAGGUGUACCAUGGGGGGCUUUUUGGGAACCGGUUUUCCCCGGCUCCCGGCUCCCGUUGGAACUUCCAGAGCGCCGCGCCCCGGGACCCUGGAAGCCCGCCCGUCCCCGCCCCCCGCGGCCGCGACCUCAGCGCUCCCGGUGCGGUUCCCGGAAACUCCUCGAUUUCCCUGUGGCCUCCGCUUUUGCAAGAAACCGAAACCCAAGCCCCGCCCCUCCGGCGCGGCCUCGCGGGACCCGGCUGCUCUCAGCAGGGGCGAGCCUCGUGCACCCCAACUCUCCCAAGUCUGAUUUCUGAGAGCAUUUCCUGUUCCGCACACACGUCAGUCAGCAGAUGAUCUGCCUGGAGGUUACCAAGAAACACCUCUAUCAGAGAGAAUGAAUACGCCGAGAAAGGAUGGUGCAACGCAUCCACGGAAAAGGGAUUUCCUGAGCGGGGACGCAGGGACCGGCGCAGCGCUCAGCGAGCUGUGCGCGGGGUGGGG